UACGAAGGGGGCUAGCGUUGUUCGGAAUUACUGGGCGUAAAGGCGCGUAGGCGGUUGCUCAAGUCAGGCGUGAAAGCCCCGGGCUCAACCUGGGAAUUGCGCUUGAGACUGGGCGGCUUGAGUUCGGGAGAGGUGAGUGGAAUUCCCAGUGUAGAGGUGAAAUUCGUAGAUAUUCGGAAGAACACCAGUGGCGAAGGCGGCUCACUGGCCCGGUACUGACGCUGAGGUGCGAAAGCGUGGGGAGCAAACAGG
RNAcentral lists this ribosomal RNA (252 nucleotides) under uncultured bacterium. Its description in RNAcentral is "partial 16S ribosomal RNA". It matches the Rfam family "Bacterial small subunit ribosomal RNA", at positions 524 to 776 of the family's 1533-position model. The record is from RNAcentral.